AUUGAACGCUGGCGGCAUGCCUUACACAUGCAAGUCGAACGGCAGCACGGGUGCUUGCACCUGGUGGCGAGUGGCGAACGGGUGAGUAAUACAUCGGAACAUGUCCUGUAGUGGGGGAUAGCCCGGCGAAAGCCGGAUUAAUACCGCAUACGAUCUACGGAUGAAAGCGGGGGACCUUCGGGCCUCGCGCUAUAGGGUUGGCCGAUGGCGGAUUAGCUAGUUGGUGGGGUAAAGGCCUACCAAGGCGACGAUCAGUAGCUGGUCUGAGAGGACGACCAGCCACACUGGGACUGAGACACGGCCCAGACUCCUACGGGAGGCAGCAGUGGGGAAUUUUGGACAAUGGGCGAAAGCCUGAUCCAGCAAUGCCGCGUGUGUGAAGAAGGCCUUCGGGUUGUAAAGCACUUUUGUCCGGAAAGAAAACCUUGGCUCUAAUACAGUCGGGGGAUGACGGUACCGGAAGAAUAAGCACCGGCUAACUACGUG
RNAcentral lists this ribosomal RNA (486 nucleotides) under uncultured bacterium. RNAcentral describes it as "partial 16S ribosomal RNA". It matches the Rfam family "Bacterial small subunit ribosomal RNA", at positions 30 to 507 of the family's 1533-position model. The record is from RNAcentral.